GCAAUAGCUGAUUGCAUUUAAUUUAAUGUAGUUACUACUUGGUAGUUUAAAUUUCUAGGUAGAAUUAUGAUGAUGACAUUAUCUACCUAUUAGUCUUGACCAAAUUACGUGCCAGCAGUCGCGGUAAUACGUAGAAGACAAGUGUUAUUCAUCUUUAUUAGGUUUAAAGAGUACCAAGACGGUUAAUAAAGCCCAAAAGAAAUGAAUACGGGGGACACAUUAACUAGAGUUAUAUGAAAGGAAGCUAUAAGGUACUGUUGAGUGUAGAGAUGAAAUUUUAUGAUACCAGAUAAUUGGCACAGAUUUAUGCGAAGGCAUCUUCUUAUGUAAUAACUGACGUUGUAGGACGAAGGCUUAGGAAGUGAACAGGAUUAGGUACCCCAGUAAUCUAGGCAGAAAAUGAUGAAUGUCAUAGGUUACUUACAAUAGUCUAUAAAUGAAAGUGUAAGCAUUCCACCUCAAGAGUAAUUUGGCAACAUUGGAACUGAAAUCAUUAGACCGUUUCUGAAACCAGUAGUGAAGUAUGUUGUUUAAUUAGAUGAUACACAAAAACCUUACCACAAUUUGAAUAUAUAUAAAAUAUAUUUACAAGCGCUGCACGGCUGUCUACAGUUAAUGUCGUGAGACUAUGGUUAGCUCCAUUAAAUUGACGAAAACCCAAAUUAUAUUUAUAAAUAUAAU
Molecule: ribosomal RNA, 681 nt
Filed under: Sticta parahumboldtii
Lineage: Eukaryota; Fungi; Ascomycota; Lecanoromycetes; Peltigerales; Lobariaceae
Description: SSU rRNA
Rfam family: Bacterial small subunit ribosomal RNA
Source: RNAcentral